UGACAGUCUUCGGCAGCAUGGUUGAAUCAGGUGCAUCAACACAUGAUGUAGACAUCGUAUCCAAAAGAAGAGCGAGACGUAAUCCUGAGGCUGAAGCCACCGAGUUUAUUUGAUCUGGAUGUGACAAGUCUUGUUUUAAGGCCCAGUGGAUCAAUGAUUGGAAAGACACCAACUGUUGAUGUUCUAUCUCAACAUUCUCCAGAUUCAUGUGAGCGAUAAACCGACUUCAUCCCUCCAACAGACACCAACUGUUGGGGUUCUAUCUCAACAUUCUCCAGAUUCAGAUGUGAGCGAUAAACCGACUUCAUCCCUCCAACAGAAACCAACUGUUGAGGUUCCAUCUCAACAUUCUCCAGAUUCAGAUGUGAGCCAUUAACUGACUUCAUCCCUCCAACAGAAACCAACUGUUGAGGUUCUAUCUCAACAUUCUCUAGAUUCAGAUGACAGCCAUAAACCGACUUCAUCCCUCCAACAGAUUGACAGCAGGACAAAUCGCUGGAAGUGGGUAUGUCUCAAGCUUCUUCCACUUGGUCCACUCCAAAGCGGGGUGCAAAGGGGAAGAAGUGGAAGCAGUUGAAUGACACAUGUUGCAUUUUGUAACUGGCAACAAAGUACCAGGUAAAAAAGAUUGUGAAGCCUGCCUCCAUAAAGAACUAGUAGCUCUACAGGACAGAGAUUGGCUUGCCAUCAAGUACUACAUCCAUAACAGAAUUAUAUUAAAAAAAGGGAAAAAAAUGUUUUCCCACAUCUUCUGUGGUAGUUUGAGUAUGUUACCAGCAAUUAAAAAAGCAAAAUAAACAGCAAGCGUUUUGUAUUUAUUCCAGAUAAUUCUUAGCGACAAAAUCCACAAAAACAAUUCAGUUACACUUAGUCGACAAUUACAUUUUUACCCAUGUUUCUUUUAAACUCUUCUUGGUUUUAGAUUACAGUAGCAUGGGAUUGGGAUUUUUUUUUUAAAUGACAACACAUCAACUAAACCAACUCAGGUGGUUUUGUUAAGUCUCUGAUGUCAUUAGCCUCAUAUGUCACAUGAACCUGAAAUCUUAAACACUCUGUGACGUCAUGGUCAUCAUAU
Molecule: long non-coding RNA, 1075 nt
Organism: Nerophis ophidion (straightnose pipefish)
Lineage: Eukaryota; Metazoa; Chordata; Actinopteri; Syngnathiformes; Syngnathidae
Exons: 8
Source: RefSeq, a predicted model, not a curated record